AUGAACGCUGGCGGCGUGCCUAAUACCUGCAAGUCGAGCGAACGGACGAGAAGCUUGCUUCUCUAAUGUUAGCGGCGGACGGGUGAGUAACACGUGGAUAACCUACCUAUAAGACUGGGAUAACUUCGGGAAACCGUAGCUAAUACCGGAUAAUAUUUUGAACCGCAUGGUUCAAAAGUGAAAGACGGUCUUGCUGUCACUUAUAGAUGGAUCCGCGCUGCAUUAGCUAGUUGGUAAGGUAACGGCUUACCAAGGCAACGAUGCAUAGCCGACCUGAGAGGGUGAUCGGCCACACUGGAACUGGGACACGGUCCAGACUCCUACGGGAGGCAGCAGUAGGGAAUCUUCCGCAAUGGGCGAAAGCCUGACGGAGCAACGCCGCGUGAGUGAUGAAGGUCUUCGGAUCGUAAAACUCUGUUAUUAGGGAAGAACAUAUGUGUAAGUAACUGUGCACAUCUUGACGGUACCUAAUCAGAAAGCCACGGCUAACUACGUG
This 496-nucleotide ribosomal RNA is filed under the name uncultured bacterium. RNAcentral describes it as "partial 16S ribosomal RNA". It matches the Rfam family "Bacterial small subunit ribosomal RNA", at positions 29 to 507 of the family's 1533-position model. The record is from RNAcentral.